Molecule: non-coding RNA, 1589 nt
Organism: Orbicella faveolata
Lineage: Eukaryota; Metazoa; Cnidaria; Anthozoa; Scleractinia; Merulinidae
Source: RefSeq, a predicted model, not a curated record
CCUUCUCCAAAAUGGGGCCCGCCGAGAGAGGACUGGAAACUGGGGGUACGAAGUUUCAAUAUGGCGGAAGUGUAGAGAGAAAUGUGCUGCAGACUGGAAACUUCGAGAGAUCUAUUUUAGAGUUUGCAAAUAAGUGGCUCGAAAGCAAGAAGGGAAGGAAAAAAGGAGACAAGUACUACCUGGAAACAUACCUCGAGAACAUCAAAAUAUUGUUUUCUGAGGAUUGCUGCGUUGUAAAAGCAAGAUGUUAUCGCUCGAUGAGGAAAACCGAAGCACCACAUAAACUAAGAAUUGUAUUUGAUGGUUCCGAAGAAGACAGCAUUGAAGUUACCACUCAAUGUUCAUGUAAAGCUGGAACUGGGAAAUGCCAACAUUUAGCUGCUUUGUUUACACAUGUAACGGUAAAAUUACACGAUGACAACUCUCCAACCUCCCAUCCACAACAGUGGCAUAAACCUCGAGGUCCUUCGCUAGAGCCACAAAGAUGGUUUGCUUCCGAGUUUGUGAAACCAUAAAUAGAUCGAAAGCCUUGCGAAAUAGCACCUAAGACUGUACAGGAGUAUUUAUACGAUCCCAGACCUAUCAAACAACAGCUGAUUACCGAAAGACAUGUUCAACACCUUGGAGAAAACAUCUCAGUUGAGAGUCCUACCACUUAUGCUUCUUGGCUUUGAUACUCUAACUCAGCAACCCACAAGUCCCUUCCAUGGGGGAAUUCUUUAGAAGGCUGUCCUUUAGCAAAUCAGUUAAGGGAUAUAUAUCCUCCGAGCUUUGUAGAUACUGUUUACAGUGAGGACCUUGAGGCAGUGUUUGACUUUCCCGUAGAAAUUACUUUACCAGAACAUGUUAGGAAAGGGCCACCACCAACAGUGCCAGAAGAAGAAAAACCCUUCCUAUCAAAUGUCAUGUUAUCUCAAGAAAAAGUGUUGGAAAUUAAGAAGAAUACGAGAAGUCAGUCCAGUUGCUCAACUUGGCACCAAGAGCGAGCAUUCAGAAUAACUGCUUCAAGAUUCGGUGAAGUUGUUUCUAGAAAAGCACCAGUUAAUGAUAGGUUCUUACAUACUUUAUUUUCAUCAACAAAGGUGCAGACUGAGGCCAUGAAAUAUGGUCUAGACAUGGAACCAAUGGUUGUCAAAGAGUUCAAGGAAUUAUCAGGCCCUCAAGUAGAAGUUUUCAAAUGUGGGUUGUUGAUUCAUCCUGACAUUUACUGGAUGGGUUGUUCGCCUGAUGGUAUUAUUUAUGAUCCUAAUGAGAAUCCAUCGGUUGGAAUUCUGGAAAUUAAGAGCUUGUUUUCGAUAAAGGGAAAGUCAAUUGAGGAAUGCUUAGAACUUAAAAGGGACAUUUGUAUUCAUCGAGAUAAAAAUGGAGAAAUAAGACUCAAACAUAACCAUAAGUAUUACUUUCAGCUACAAGGCCUAAUGGAAAUAUCAGGGUUGUUGUGGAGCAAAUUUUGUAUCCAUUCUAAGGAGGGGUCAGAAAAUCUGUUUGUACAAAAAAUUGAAUUUGAUCCUGGAGUUUUUCACAAAGUCACUUCCAAAGUUCAUGAACUUUAUUUUUCUCACUGCUUGCCUUAUUUUUUGAGGCAAUAA